AGAGUUUGAUCAUGGCUCAGAUUGAACGCUGGCGGCAUGCCUUACACAUGCAAGUCGAGCGGCAGCGCGGGGCAACCCUGGCGGCGAGCGGCGCACGGGUGAGUAAUGCAUCGGAACGUGUCCUCUUGUGGGGGAUAACCAGUCGAAAGACUGGCUAAUACCGCAUGAGAUCGAGAGAUGAAAGCAGGGGACCCGCAAGGCCUUGCGCGAGAGGAGCGGCCGAUGCCGGAUUAGCUAGUUGGCGGGGUAAUGGCCCACCAAGGCGACGAUCCGUAGCUGGUCUGAGAGGACGACCAGCCACACUGGGACUGAGACACGGCCCAGACUCCUACGGGAGGCAGCAGUGGGGAAUUUUGGACAAUGGGGGCAACCCUGAUCCAGCCAUGCCGCGUGUGUGAAGAAGGCCUUCGGGUUGUAAAGCACUUUCGGACGGAACGAAAUCGCACGAUCUAACAAGUCGUGUGGAUGACGGUACCGUAAGAAGAAGCACCGGCUAACUACGUGCCAGCAGCCGCGGUAAUACGUAGGGUGCGAGCGUUAAUCGGAAUUACUGGGCGUAAAGUGUGCGCAGGCGGCAAAGCAAGUCGAGUGUGAAAGCCCCGGGCUUAACUUGGGAAUUGCGCUCGAAACUACUUUGCUGGAGUGUGGCAGAGGAAGGUGGAAUUCCACGUGUAGCGGUGAAAUGCGUAGAGAUGUGGAGGAACACCAAUGGCGAAGGCAGCCUUCUGGGCCAACACUGACGCUCAUGCACGAAAGCGUGGGGAGCAAACAGGAUUAGAUACCCUAGUAGUCC
RNAcentral lists this ribosomal RNA (793 nucleotides) under uncultured bacterium. RNAcentral's name for it is "bacterial SSU rRNA". It matches the Rfam family "Bacterial small subunit ribosomal RNA", at positions 8 to 796 of the family's 1533-position model. The record is from RNAcentral.